RNAcentral lists this ribosomal RNA (303 nucleotides) under uncultured bacterium. RNAcentral describes it as "bacterial SSU rRNA". It matches the Rfam family "Bacterial small subunit ribosomal RNA", at positions 216 to 507 of the family's 1533-position model. The record is from RNAcentral.
CGCGAUUGGAGCGGCCGAUGUCGGAUUAGCUAGGUUGGUAGGGUAAAGGCCUACCAAGGCGACGAUCCGUAGCGGGUCUGAGAGGGAUGAUCCGCCACACUGGGACUGAGACACGGCCCCAGACUCCUACGGGAGGCAGCAGUGGGGAAUUUUGGACAAUGGGCGAAAGCCUGAUCCAGCCAUGCCGCGUGAGUGAAGAAGGCCUUCGGGUUGUAAAGCUCUUUCGGCUGGGAAGAAAUCGCACAGGCUAAUACUCUGUGUGGAUGACGGUACCAGCACAAGAAGCACCGGCUAACCUACGUG